GCACUCCGUGAGGAUGUCCAGCAUCAGAUAAGUGCGAUUUUGUAAAUCGCGGAAGCUCCUCUAUUGGCUGUCAGGGAUACAGCCACUGGAGGCUGGAUUAACCCUGCAAUGUACACAGCAGUGUCUCUGAAACUGCUAUGUUUUCAGCUGAAGGGUUAAAACCAGGAGGACCUGGCACCCAGACCACUUCAUUGAGCUGAAGAGGUCUGGGUGCUUAUAGUGGUCCUUUAAGUAACUCAGACUUGAGAGAAGCAGGUAUCAAGCGGUCAGCCAUUUACUCAGCUAGUCCACAUUUGGAAGAUUGCUCCAAGCCCACUUAGGAAAACGUAAGUAUCGUUGCCUCUGCACCAUACCGUCAAGGCAGGAUGCCUCAGCCCCUCCACUCUCCAAGCCCAGGCUUUAGUAAAAUAAACAGUGCUAAAGGACCGCUGGACCUUCCAUAACGGAUGGUAGGGCUAAUGUCCCGUGAGACUCCCAUGUUGCAGAGAGGCCUCCAAGGUUGUGGAUGGCAGACUGGAUCACCUCCAUCUUGAUUCCUAGCCCAGAGGGAGAGCUGCAUCCCGAGACAUCAUCCAUGGCACCAACAUCAGCGGAUAAGGUGAGUUUUAAUUCACAAGUGUGAAUAAGCGGCAAAACUGCUCACAAACUGCUUUAUAUUUUGUCUGUUACUCUUCUUCCCACUCAUGUAAUAUGCUCCCUGUUAGUACAGAUGCCAUUAUGGUGUCGCCACAUGGACUCAUAGAAUCUGGCUGCCUUGGGCACAACUACAGAUUCUUCUCUGGUCUGGAUCAGGAUAAUCCCCGCUGGUCCAAAGAUGGGGCAAACAGAGCUUCAACUAUAGCUUUCAAAGACUGCAGGCCAGGACAUCGGCCUUUUCUCCUCUCCUUGGAACACACCAGGCCAUGUAGGCCGCAAUCUGGAGUUUAUUGAUGGGGGAUUCACAAGUGGUACCAGGGAGCCCCUCUGUAUGCUCAAUCAAGCAAGUUGUUGCUGGAGUUUGUCCAAAGGCUGCUAACAGCAAUAUUAGUACAUGUAGUGGAGAUUUAGCAGGGAGCUCUCCCCAAAUACAUCUUCCCACCACAAAGGACAGGCUUUUAUAUAACUCCCCUUGUCUGAAUUUAUUUUUUUUCUUGAAUUCUGGUUUUCAUAAAAUACAUUAGAAAAGUAAGAACAUUUCUAUCCUUAAUUUAUAACAUUAAAUUAAUAUUUACAUUUUUAUUAUUUCUUUUAACACUUCGUCUGCUGGCUGCUUGUGUUGCCAGUGGUCAAAGAAGGAAGAAUUUUUAUAGGAUCAUCUGCAAAAAGCAGAUGAGUUUAGUUUGCAAAUUUGCCUUCUACAUGAUUUGUUCACAGUGAAUCCAAUUCAAAUUCAGUGUUUGAUAAAUAUGCAAAUACUAUAUUGUAUGUUGGAAUCCCACCUGCAAAUUACUUAUUUUAAACCAGGCCCUGGUUGGAAAGAAAUGUGUGCAUUCAUUUGAAAUAACCGCAUUCCAACUGGAUUUGCCUUUAGUAAAUAAAAGAAUUGCAAAUCCAGGUACUUUUCACUGAAUUUUGUUUAUGUGAACCAAAUUCAGACUUUAAAGGAAUUAUCUAGUAUUCCUAGCACUAUAGUUCCCUCUGGAUCCCUUCACCUCCAGGAGAUAAGGGGUUAAAACAAAACUUAUUUACUUACCCUAACUGCCUCCUCUGACAUCAUUCGAUGGAGCCAGGGGGGAGAGGGGGGACUUAUGUGUAUGUGUGGUAAGUGCAUUAGGCCCUCCCCAUAGGAAAACAUUGCCUCAAUACUUUCCUAUGAGGAUUUAACUGAUGCUGUAUGCCCUCAUGUUAUUAUUUAGAAAGCGCCAACAAAUUCCGCAGCCCUGUACAAUGGGUGCACUAACAGACACGUAUUUAUAACUAGAUGAGUUGGAUACACAGGAACAGAGGGGUUGAGGGCUCUGCUCACUGAGCUUACAUGCUAGAGGGAGUCAUCAUUAUGUUCAGCGUCAUUAAGGUGAUGUCACGUAUUCAUCCGCUUAUAAAAAUGUGGUUAAUGGCAUUUACUGUCCACACAGGAAAAGUUGUGCCGAGCAGCAACCAAAUCCACAGAAGGGUUAAUGCUCAGCAGUAAUUAUGCAAAUGGGAACCUGAUAACUGCCUUUGGGGUCAAAGGCCGGUUACGGCCAAUCAGAUCUAGAGGAGGGGUAUUUAGGCCCAGUUCUCAUCCUGCUCAGUGCCCUGUCGUGGUUUCCCUAGUGGUUGUCCAAGAGCGCGUUCCUGAUUCAAGUUUCUUCUGGUUUUUUACUUUGGCUUUGAUUUUGACUAACCUGUAUUCUGGUACCCCUGACUUCUGGCUUUCCCUUAUCGUUGUGUCUCUUUCUGUAUCCCCUGACCUCUGCAAGUAUCCUGACUACUCUUUGGUACGUUAAAUCUGGCCAUUCUAAGGCCCGGUUGUGAAGGACUGUUAUGUGUUUACCUGUGUGCUUUCAGUUUAACCCUCUCCCUGCUGUUUAAAUGCCUGUAUUAGUUUGGUUCAAUAUAUAGGGAAUAAAUGUAUUCGUUUACCAAAAGAGGACCACACACCCUGGGUAGCAAUUAGCAUUAGAACGCGGAGAAAACCGCAACUUAAUUGCUACUAGGUGGCUGCCAUUCGACAUACGAACACGUGGCGAGAACAAAGGAUGGCGGCCAAAACUCACGAAUGCGGUCAGUGGGGCUUACGCAUGAAUUUCGUGGAACUAAUUUCGGAACGCAAACAUGCGAACGCCCGGUCACCACGGAAGUCCUGGAUGAAUACGUUCCCCUACACGAAUCCAACUAGCGUUCGGUAGAUAGAAUCUACUGAAUAAGGGGAACAUUCACAGGUAACCAGCUGCACCAUAAGAACGGUGGUUUUCGUGCAGUUAGAUGCGUACAGAGACCGGCUCUUGCUACUGAUUCUCUGGAACUCAAAAUCGAUACCUCCACAUGGCGAGCUGGUCAAACUUCCACACGAUGCGACACGGAAAUGGAAAUUCGUGAGAUUUGGAUAUAUGACUACUCAGCUACCCAGGGAUGUUGAAAUUAUGUUUGUAUGUGGCAUAAAAAGUACUUUUCUAAAAUUGUUAAAAACUGUAAUAUUUUUGGCCAGCAGAUAAUUGAGCUUUGUGUAUUGUAGAAACUCAAUUAUCUAGCCUGGCCCAGAGGAGGAGUUUUGUGUUGCAUAAAUUGUGAGUUCUGUGUGCCAGUAAAUCAGUCUUGUUCCAGCAUUAAGCUUUGGUUCAUGUGUGGAUUAUUCGGCGAUUCCAGGGAUAUUUCUACUCGUGGAAUAUUGG
Pelobates cultripes (western spadefoot toad) is the source of this 3293-nucleotide non-coding RNA. NCBI's taxonomy places the organism in Eukaryota, Metazoa, Chordata, Amphibia, Anura, Pelobatidae. The record is from the annotation of a GenBank genome assembly.